RNAcentral lists this ribosomal RNA (252 nucleotides) under uncultured bacterium. RNAcentral describes it as "partial 16S ribosomal RNA". It matches the Rfam family "Bacterial small subunit ribosomal RNA", at positions 524 to 776 of the family's 1533-position model. The record is from RNAcentral.
UACGUAGGGUGCAAGCGUAAUCGGAAUUACUGGGCGUAAAGCGUGCGCAGGCGGUGAUGUAAGACAGAUGUGAAAUCCCCGGGCUCAACCUGGGAACUGCAUUUGUGACUGCAUCGCUGGAGUGCGGCAGAGGGGGAUGGAAUUCCGCGUGUAGCAGUGAAAUGCGUAGAUAUGCGGAGGAACACCGAUGGCGAAGGCAAUCCCCUGGGCCUGCACUGACGCUCAUGCACGAAAGCGUGGGGAGCAAACAGG